This 546-nucleotide ribosomal RNA is filed under the name Yamadazyma amphicis. RNAcentral's name for it is "[Candida] amphicis partial large subunit ribosomal RNA". It matches the Rfam family "Eukaryotic large subunit ribosomal RNA", at positions 62 to 648 of the family's 3401-position model. The record is from RNAcentral. Lineage: Eukaryota; Fungi; Ascomycota; Pichiomycetes; Serinales; Debaryomycetaceae.
AAACCAACAGGGAUUGCCUUAGUAGCGGCGAGUGAAGCGGCAAUAGCUCAAAUUUGAAAUCUGGCACCUUCGGUGUCCGAGUUGUAAUUUGAAGAAGGUAUCUUUGGUUUUGGCUCUUGUCUAUGUUCCUUGGAACAGGACGUCACAGAGGGUGAGAAUCCCGUGCGAUGAGAUGCCCAAUUCCAUGUAAAGUUCCUUCGACGAGUCGAGUUGUUUGGGAAUGCAGCUCUAAGUGGGUGGUAAAUUCCAUCUAAAGCUAAAUAUUGGCGAGAGACCGAUAGCGAACAAGUACUGUGAAGGAAAGAUGAAAAGAACUUUGAAAAGAGAGUGAAAAAGUACGUGAAAUUGUUGAAAGGGAAGGGCUUGAGAUCAGACUUGGAAUUUUCCAUUACAUGGAGCUUUCCGGGCCAGCAUCAGGGAUGGCAGGAUAAUUGCGAUGGAAAGUAGCUCUGCUUCGGUGGAGUAUUAUAGCCUUCGUCGAUACUGCCUGUCUAGACUGAGGACUGCGUCUUUGACUAGGAUGCUGGCAUAAUGAUCUUAAGCCGC